RNAcentral lists this ribosomal RNA (253 nucleotides) under uncultured bacterium. Its description in RNAcentral is "partial 16S ribosomal RNA". It matches the Rfam family "Bacterial small subunit ribosomal RNA", at positions 524 to 776 of the family's 1533-position model. The record is from RNAcentral.
GACGUAGGGCGCGAGCGUUGUCCGGAUUUAUUGGGCGUAAAGAGCUCGUAGGCGGCUUGUCGCGUCGUCCGUGAAAACCUGCAGCUCAACUGCAGGCUUGCGGUCGAUACGGGCAGGCUCGAGUUCGGUAGGGGAGACUGGAAUUCCUGGUGUAGCGGUGAAAUGCGCAGAUAUCAGGAAGAACACCAAUGGCGAAGGCAGCUCUCUGGGACGGUACUGACGCUGAGACGCGAAAGCGUGGGGAGCGAACAGG